RNAcentral lists this transfer RNA (67 nucleotides) under Dipodomys ordii (Ord's kangaroo rat). It matches the Rfam family "tRNA". From Rfam's summary of the family: Transfer RNA (tRNA) molecules are approximately 80 nucleotides in length. Their secondary structure includes four short double-helical elements and three loops (D, anti-codon, and T loops). Lineage: Eukaryota; Metazoa; Chordata; Mammalia; Rodentia; Heteromyidae. The record is from Rfam by way of RNAcentral.
GGUGGCUCAGUGGUAGAGUGCUUGCCUUGCAUGCAUGAGGCCCUGGGUUCGAUUCUUCACAGCACCA